RNAcentral lists this ribosomal RNA (190 nucleotides) under Vibrio alginolyticus. Its description in RNAcentral is "partial 16S ribosomal RNA". It matches the Rfam family "Bacterial small subunit ribosomal RNA", at positions 1 to 174 of the family's 1533-position model. Lineage: Bacteria; Pseudomonadati; Pseudomonadota; Gammaproteobacteria; Vibrionales; Vibrionaceae. The record is from RNAcentral.
AAAUUGAAGAGUUUGAUCAUGGCUCAGAUUGAACGCUGGCGGCAGGCCUAACACAUGCAAGUCGAGCGGAAACGAGUUAUCUGAGCCUUCGGGGAACGAUAACGGCGUCGAGCGGCGGACGGGUGAGUAAUGCCUAGGAAAUUGCCCUGAUGUGGGGGAUAACCAUUGGAAACGAUGGCUAAUACCGCAU